UGAGCAAUCUGUCCUUCACAUCGGAAUAACCAUUGGAAACGAUGGCUAAUACCGAAUACGGCUUCGGACCGCAUGGUCUGAAGUGGAAAGCUCCGGCGGUGAAGGAUGAGCUCGCGGCCUAUCAGCUUGUUGGUGAGGUAAUAGCUCACCAAGGCGAUGACGGGUAGCCGGCCUGAGAGGGUGACCGGCCACACUGGGACUGAGACACGGCCCAGACCUCUACGGGA
This 227-nucleotide ribosomal RNA is filed under the name uncultured bacterium. RNAcentral's name for it is "partial 16S ribosomal RNA". It matches the Rfam family "Bacterial small subunit ribosomal RNA", at positions 118 to 346 of the family's 1533-position model. The record is from RNAcentral.